This is a long non-coding RNA of Oncorhynchus tshawytscha (Chinook salmon), 537 nucleotides long. Lineage: Eukaryota; Metazoa; Chordata; Actinopteri; Salmoniformes; Salmonidae. The record is from Ensembl.
UUAACACUGAUAUUUUUCUUUGUCUUCCUAGGGUUACCUCGGUGGAAGCCAACAAUCUUCUACAGUUGGAGCAGUUGGACGGUCGACCACUGGAAGCACUGACGCCCUACACUUCGGUGAAGCCCAAUAGACAAAGACCAUCGACUAUCCGAGCCCCCCAGGAGGUAACCCAUCCACCAGAACCAGUGAGUUUGGAUCAGUCUGAUUCUCUGUGAUCUGAGUCAGAGGGGGACCAGCUUGAGGGGUUCUGCCCAACACCCAGACGUGGAUCCACCUGAUGUCCUCCAUUACCAACCACCCUCCAACUUUCAUUACAUCAUGUACAGCUACUGUUGUCAUUAUCUGCUAAGUAAGAGCAAGAAAACUAUCAUACUGGGCACAUAAAAUUUGAGAAACACAGAUUAUCUAAAAACACUAGCACUGCAAACACUCAGAGCAAAGAGAGCAGCCGCGCCUGGACUCCCUGCAGUCUCCCUCUUCAAGUCCCCCUUCUGAGACUGGCUGCCUGUUGAGAACAAGUGACAGGCAGAACCUCCC